RNAcentral lists this unclassified non-coding RNA (358 nucleotides) under soil metagenome. RNAcentral describes it as "partial contains 5.8S ribosomal RNA, internal transcribed spacer 2, and large subunit ribosomal RNA". The stretch from base 1 to 120 matches the Rfam family "5.8S ribosomal RNA", at positions 35 to 154 of the family's 154-position model. The record is from RNAcentral.
GAUGAAGAACGCAGCGAAAUGCGAUAAGUAAUGUGAAUUGCAGAAUUCAGUGAAUCAUCGAAUCUUUGAACGCACAUUGCGCCCGUCAGUAUUCUGGCGGGCAUGCCUGUUCGAGCGUCAUUACGCCCCUCAAGUCCCCUGUGGACUUGGUGUUGGGGAUCGGCGAGGCUGGUUUUCCAGCACAGCCGUCCCUUAAAUUAAUUGGCGGUCUCGCCGUGGCCCUCCUCUGCGCAGUAAUAAAACACUCGCAACAGGAGCCCGGCGCGGUCCACUGCCGUAAAACCCCCCAACUUUUUAUAGUUGACCUCGAAUCAGGUAGGACUACCCGCUGAACUUAAGCAUAUCAAUAAGCGGAGGA